UACGGAGGAUGCAAGCGUUGUCCGGAUUUAUUGGGCGUAAAGAGCGUGUAGGCGGCCAGAUAGGUCCGUUGUGAAAACUCGAGGCUCAACCUCGAGACGUCGGUGGAAACCGUUUGGCUAGAGUCCGGAAGAGGAGAGUGGAAUUCCCGGUGUAGCGGUGAAAUGCGCAGAUAUCGGGAAGAACACCCGUGGCGAAGGCGGCUCUCUGGGACGGUACUGACGCUGAGACGCGAAAGCGUGGGGAGCGAACAGG
This 253-nucleotide ribosomal RNA is filed under the name uncultured bacterium. RNAcentral's name for it is "partial 16S ribosomal RNA". It matches the Rfam family "Bacterial small subunit ribosomal RNA", at positions 524 to 776 of the family's 1533-position model. The record is from RNAcentral.